AUUGAACGCUGGCGGCAUGCCUAACACAUGCAAGUCGAACGGCAGCACAAUAAAGAUUUCGGUCUUUAUGGGUGGCGAGUGGCGGACGGGUGAGUAACGCGUAGGAAUCUGUCCUGGAGAGUGGGAUAACCCGAGGAAACUCGGGCUAAUACUGCAUGACAUUGAGAGAUCAAAAGCAGGGGACCGAAAGGCCUUGCGCUCUGGGGUGAGCCUACGUCGGAUUAGCUAGUUGGUGGGGUAAAGGCCUACCAAGGCAACGAUCCGUAGCUGGUCUGAGAGGAUGCCCAGCCACACUGGGACUGAGACACGGCCCAGACUCCUACGGGAGGCAGCAGUGGGGAAUCUUGGACAAUGGGGGAAACCCUGAUCCAGCGAUGCCGCGUGUGUGAAGAAGGCCUUCGGGUUGUAAAGCACUUUAGGUGGGGAAGAAAGGUAGCGAGUGAAUAACUUUCUGCUGUGACGGUACCCACAGAAUAAGCACCGGCUAACUCUGUGCCAGCCGCCGCGGUAA
RNAcentral lists this ribosomal RNA (511 nucleotides) under uncultured bacterium. RNAcentral's name for it is "partial 16S ribosomal RNA". It matches the Rfam family "Bacterial small subunit ribosomal RNA", at positions 30 to 523 of the family's 1533-position model. The record is from RNAcentral.